GACGAACGCUGGCGGCGUGCUUAACACAUGCAAGUCGAACGGUGAAGCUCCAGCUUGCUGGAGUGGAUCAGUGGCGAACGGGUGAGUAACACGUGAGCAACCUGCCCCUGACUUUGGAAUAAGCGCUGGAAACGGCGUCUAAUACUGGAUAUGAGAAGGGUCCGCAUGGACACUUUCUGGAAAGUUUUUCGGUUGGGGAUGGGCUCGCGGCCUAUCAGCUUGUUGGUGAGGUAAUGGCUCACCAAGGCGACGACGGGUAGCCGGCCUGAGAGGGCGACCGGCCACACUGGGACUGAGACACGGCCCAGACUCCUACGGGAGGCAGCAGUGGGGAAUAUUGCACAAUGGGCGAAAGCCUGAUGCAGCGACGCCGCGUGAGGGAUGACGGCCUUCGGGUUGUAAACCUCUUUCAGCAGGGAAGAAGCGAAAGUGACGGUACCUGCAGAAGAAGCACCGGCUAACUACGUG
Molecule: ribosomal RNA, 468 nt
Filed under: uncultured bacterium
Lineage: Bacteria
Description: partial 16S ribosomal RNA
Rfam family: Bacterial small subunit ribosomal RNA
Source: RNAcentral